RNAcentral lists this transfer RNA (82 nucleotides) under Echinostoma caproni. It matches the Rfam family "tRNA". From Rfam's summary of the family: Transfer RNA (tRNA) molecules are approximately 80 nucleotides in length. Their secondary structure includes four short double-helical elements and three loops (D, anti-codon, and T loops). The record is from Rfam by way of RNAcentral. Lineage: Eukaryota; Metazoa; Platyhelminthes; Trematoda; Plagiorchiida; Echinostomatidae.
GGCCUCGUAGUUCAGCUGGUAGAGCAUGCGCGUACAAAGCGUAGGCAGUGUCCAUGCGUGGGUUCGAAUCCCACCCAGGCUA